RNAcentral lists this ribosomal RNA (253 nucleotides) under uncultured bacterium. RNAcentral describes it as "partial 16S ribosomal RNA". It matches the Rfam family "Bacterial small subunit ribosomal RNA", at positions 524 to 776 of the family's 1533-position model. The record is from RNAcentral.
GACAGGGGAUGCAAGUGUUAUCCGGAAUGAUUGGGCGUAAAGGGUUUUUAGGUGGAUAUAUAAGUCUUUUAUUAAAUUAUUGAUCUUAAAUUAAUAAUUGUAUAAGAAACUAUAUAUCUAGAGUAUAGAAUGGAUAAUUUCAAUUUUCAGUGUAGCGGUAAAAUGCGUCGAGACUGAAAGGAAAACCAAUAGCGAAAGCAACUUAUUAGGCUAAUACUGACACUCAAGAACGAAAGCUAAGGGAGCAAAUGGG